GGUAAACACCCAGGGAGGCCAGGGCCUCCCGUGGAGUCCAUGGGAUGGAGCACAACGGCUAGGGAAUAAAAACACGGGAUGCGGAAGCUUCCCUUCUCUUGGGUGCAGGAGAAACUGGAUCCAGCGCAGUUUCACGAGCCGAGCGGAUCCGCAAGGAUUGCUUUGUUAUCCCUCCUUUUUCAGGAGCCAAGGGGCAGCUGGGCGCGGAGUCGCUCCCGAAUCCCAGCCCCAUUCAAGCGGAUAUUGGGAAGCUGGAGGGAAAUCCAGCCACGCCGGAGCGGGACGGAGCUUCAUUCGGGGCCAAUAUCCCCCAAAAAAGAGGGCAGGCAAAAGGCUGGGAAGGAACCUUGGGAAUGGCCGCGCCGGCAGGGAUCGUUUUUUGGCGUUUGGAGCGCCGUUUUUCUGGGAGCGCCGUGGAAAAGCGGAGCCGGCAGCCUCGGUCCGUGCCAAAAAGUGUGAGUCAGCCCCGGCCUGAAGGAAUCUGGCCCGGAAAAACUGAUCCCUUAAAAGCCGGGGUGGGAGAUGGAAAGGGGAAAAAAAGAAGGAAAAUGGGAUUUGGGCUCCCGCAGGCCUCAAAACUCG
Molecule: long non-coding RNA, 582 nt
Organism: Nothoprocta perdicaria
Lineage: Eukaryota; Metazoa; Chordata; Aves; Tinamiformes; Tinamidae
Exons: 3
Source: RefSeq, a predicted model, not a curated record